Anguilla rostrata (American eel) is the source of this 4667-nucleotide long non-coding RNA. RefSeq lists it as uncharacterized. Lineage: Eukaryota; Metazoa; Chordata; Actinopteri; Anguilliformes; Anguillidae. The record is from RefSeq and is a predicted model, not a curated record. The transcript has 4 exons.
UUCUAGGGUGUAAAAAAAACUCCCUGUUCUGAUAGUUACAUGUUUGGAUGAGCUUACUUUCGCAAGCAAAACUAAAAUAUAUAUUUCAAAUGUCUCCUAGCCAAUGUCAUUAAGUAUGCAGAGGUGGAAAGUUCAGAGGUCAGAAAGUAAAAGUCCUGCCAUGUGUUUCUUCCACCCAUGAACUCAGCCCAGCUGAUUUCACUAAUUAGUUCUACCUCCUGGCUGAAUGAAUGUGCUAAUUAGAAAAUCCAGGUGAUUGGAACAACAUACUGCAGAGAGGACUUGUACUGUUUUGAACCUGGAUUUUCCACCUCUCUUCUGCUUAACCCAUAUUUGUGGCCGACGUGGGAAUAAGGACUUCUGCUCAAUCCGCAUCAUAUGCAGCGCUCGGGACGGGGAGGUGAAGCGGGGCAGAGGGGAAAUUUGACCCGCAGCUCUGCAGACAAUGGCGGACAUUUCCAGACUUACAGGAGGACAAGGAGCUUGCCUAGCUGACUGCGUUGAAUCUGCAUGGGCGGGCCACCCCACCAAAAUGGCGCACGGAUUUCCACAUUUCAGCCAGAUUCUGCGUAUCCAAAACAUCUCUGUGUGAUACGGGCCCAUUCCUUCAAGACACAGUCAAAAUUUACUCAGCUGAAUGAAGGGGACCACAAGUGCAGCAUCGCCAACGCCCAACAAACAAAAAAAGGAAAAGGUUUUUGGGAACUGCCUGCGGGAACUCACCUGACCAGCAGGGGGCACUGGUGCACAAUGCGUUGCUAUCCCAGCCGACUGAAACCCUCCCAUCCCUGGGAGAUGCUGGAGUCAACUGUGCCUCACCCUAUGGGUCUACACUAGCAUGGCUUGGACUCAACUGUGCUUGACCCUAUGGGUCUACAAUACCAUGGCUUGGACUCAGCUGUGGCUCAACUUAUGGGUCUACACUAGCAUGGCCUGGCAAUAGCAUGGUUUGGAUUCAGUACUAGACCAUGGUGCCCAUACAUGCACUGGAGCAGUGCCUUAUCAAUGCCAUUCUGCAGCCCCUCCUACGCUUUACAACUGAGGAGCUAGAAGAAAAUCAAAAUGGUCUGUUAGUAAAAGACAAGUGAGUUCCACUCAAAUAUUUCAUGUGAAUAAACGUAAUUACAAUAAUAACGCUUAAAAAGUUUAAGACCGCUACCAGCAUAAGCUCUUAAAAUCAGAAAAAAACAAGAGGUAGAACAUCAUGGCGUGCACAUUUUGUGUGGGGAGGCCGUUUUCGUGAAAUGGCUCUUUCCAUAUGGGGGUGUGGCGGACAAACUUGGGACUGAUUGAAAUAACACAUGUUACAGUUACACAUAUGACAUUUUCACCUGGUGAGCAAAGAACAGAUCUCUAAAAUUUCUCUCGGACAAAAGUCCACAAGCAGCAGUGCAUGUGUAAAACGAACUUGUGCCUUGCGCUACUUGAUUACAAUUACAUUUUUUAACAAAAACUAAAAUGACAUUGGGAUUUGGAUAUUUAGUGUUUAAAACAAAAAAUAUUAAAUUAGAUGCUUUAACACCAAACCAGAGUUGUGGAUCUCAAAUAAAACUUUGAAACAGGCACCCCUCAUUUUAAAUCACAUUAAAAAUAUAUAUAAAAAGUGACCUCUGACUCACCUGGUGCCCCCCCCCCCCACGAGACUCACAUACACAAACCCCGCAAGAGAUUAAACUCCGAGAAAAAGAGAGUGAGGAAUAAAAGGAAGGAGGGAAUAAGACGGAGGGAAAUAAAGUGAAAAAACAGAGGAGGAGAAGAAGGAGACCGGGUCUAGCAGGAAUUCGGCGGAGAGGGGGAAAGAAACGAGAGGAGAAAACCAGGGAGCCGAGAGCUGUUGUGUUUAUGCAGUCUCCUUCAAAGGGGCGCCUGAUUCGUUUUCCAUACCGCCUGCGACAGCGCUGGCUGCAGGCUUCAGACCCACGUUAGCGCUAGCUGCAGGCUUCAGACCCACGUUAGCGCUAGCUGCAGGCUUCAGACCCACGUUAGCGCUAGCUGCAGGCUUCAGGCCCACGUUAGCACUAGCUGCAGGCUUCAGUGCGCACAUUAGCGCUAGCUGCAGGCUUCAGGCCCACGUUAGCGCUAGCUGCAGGCUUCAGGCCCACGUUAGCGCUAGCUGCAGGCUUCAGGCCCGUGUUAGCGCUUCCUGCAGGCUUCAGGCCCGCGUUAGCGCUAGCUGCAGGUUUCAGGCCCACGUUAGCGCUAGCUGCAGGCUUCAGGCCCACGUUAGCGCUGGCUGCAGGCUUCAGGCCCGUGUUAGUGCUUCCUGCAGGCUUCAGGCCCGUGUUAGCGCUUCCUGCAGGCUUUGGGGUCACGUUAGCGCUAGCUGCAGGUUUCAGGCCCACGCUAGCGCUAGCUGCAGGCUUCAGGCCCACGUUAGCGCUGGCUGCAGGCUUCAGGCCUGGUUAGCGCUUCCGAGCUUAGCGCACAUCCUGCAUGUCGCAUGUCCGCGAGCUUCAGCUAACGUGCUCGCCUGCCGUUAUGAAAUUUGAUCCGAAUAAAAAAUAUUAAGAUCAUAUACUUUUCUGCCAGAGUACAAUAUUUGUAGUAAAAACACAGAUAAAUACAUAAAUAAUAAAUAAAUACAUUUUUAAAUGGUGGUCCUUUAGCACAUCAUGACACAUAUUGUUAUUCUUUCUGCUUCGUUAAUAUUGAGUCCCGCCCCAGUCUGUUUACUUGUAUCUCUUUCUCCAAAGUUGUCUCAUUCCAAAAUACUAAUGAUGUUACAAUAUAUUACAAAAUGUGUAAGUAACUAGCAAAUGUAAAAUGAAAUAUAUAGACAAGUGAAAAAAUAAAUGAGUUAAAAAAACAAACCUGAAUAUAAUGUUGUUUCCAGGGAACUGCAAUCACCUUCAGUUGGAUGAUUAGGAAACAAUGGAAUAACUUGGCUAGCAAGGACUACACUACACAUGAACAUGCUUUGCCCUAUUGGACGUUUGUCUUGUUUCUUGAGGACAAAUAAGAAAAAGACACUGAGCACUUCUUUCCCCAGAGUUACACCCAAAGGUCCACAAUUUUAAACUCAACACAGAUUUAAAUUUUAACUCUUUCACAAAUCCGGCCAGAUACUUCUGCUCAGGUAAAAUUCUUUCUUAUAGCCAGUCUUUUGUUAACGAACAUGCGUUUUUUUUCCUGGACUUGUUUCCAGGUAUUCCCUAUCUGAAAUUCAGUAGUGAGCAAACUUGUUGCCUUUUAUAAUUUGAUGGACACGCGUAUUUCAAAACAGGAUAAGUAUCACAUGUACCUAAUUUUAUUAGCCCUCCCACUCACACUUUAAAAAUUUCAAAAUCAUCCCAAAAAUAUGUCAUCAUGUCAUAUGUAAUCAUGUUUUAAACCUUACCAAAAUGUAAAAAGCUUCUGUAUUCGACACCAGUCAUGCCCCACACAAGCUUGCUUAGUCAUCGUAUCUGGCUAAGAAGGGGUCCCCACUGGUUUAUGCGCCCCCCCCCCCCCAAAAAAAAGAAAAAAAACAGGGUCAAUGUCACAACUCUCCUUGGCCAUCUACAGUACACGGUCAGCGGCAGGCCAAGAUGCUCCUGUUUUCUCAAUGACAGCCUGUCUGCGAAUCGUCCCCUGUGAAGGACAUCACUCCCUCUUCCAAAUCGUUGUUCCACGUUUCAAAGUUUCUGCGUUGUCUAACGAUGGUUUUACUGUCAAGAUGUGCCCCUGUUCCUCUCUGCUUUUAAAACGAUUUUAAAAAAUAAUUGACUAAAUAGAAAAAUAAAUGGACUUGCUUUGAGAGAUAAUAUGUGUGCUAAUAUAUUUAAGUGGUAGUUAACAGAAUUCUAAUUCGUAUUAAUAAUGACUUAAAAAGAUAAAUAGCAAAUAAACAUAACUGAUCUUACCAUUAGUCCUGAAUACUGGUUUUAAUGCAGCCACGUGCAGUACACAUUUUUUAUGGGGCAGCUACUUUAAAAUACAAAUUGAAACUAAAGUAGAUCCUAAAAAAAUAAAAAAACCAGGAUACCAGCAGUGAUAUUCCACAAUUAUAAAUCAGAGCCGAAGAGUUACUGUCUGCUAUAAAGGGAUUUGUUGCUUGCAAUUAGCUAGAAGCCCCAAUGGACUUAAGGGCCCAGAAGCUACUGCUUUUGUAGUUCCACACUGUUGAACUAACUGAUGUUUGUCUGUCAAAAUUAUGAAGAAUUUCCCUUUGAUACUGGCUUAAUGCCAGUGACAGCCUCGUUCUUUGUUUAAAUAGUUCUGGAAAGUCCCUCGAUAUAUAAAAUAAUGAUGUUAUUAUGUUUUAAAAGUUUAAAAUAUUGUUUUUGUUUCGGAACAUCAAAUAUAUAUUUCGUGUAGUUUUUGGGUCUACUCCUAGGAAAAUUACAUUUUUCCCCCGGUUUUCCGUUCCCUUCUCUGAACCCGUUGUAUUCCCUUAUCCCAUAGAUUGAAAAACGUCUGGCUGUAUGCUUUGUGUCUAAUAUGAGAUAUUAUAAGAUUGAUUAAAAAAACUGAAACCACAAAGGUUUAUGCAGUGAAAUGUUGUCAGCACGAACCAUUUUAUGAAAUACCAAUCUCUGAAUCUCGAGUAUCAGUUGACUGUGAUUGGUCUCUGACAUAGCUAAUGGUGACACGGAAUAAUGUCCGUACGGUAUGUUCACCCUACUUACGUAAACAAACAAUGAAUUCUAUUGAGAACAAGACAGUCUUAACCGUCUGGAAUGCUUUUA